GCAGCCUGAUGCAGCAACGCCGCGUGAGGGAUGACGGCCUUCGGGUUGUAAACCUCUUUUAGCAGGGAAGAAGCGAAAGUGACGGUACCUGCAGAAAAAGCGCCGGCUAACUACGUGCCAGCAGCCGCGGUAAUACGUAGGGCGCAAGCGUUAUCCGGAAUUAUUGGGCGUAAAGAGCUCGUAGGCGGUUUGUCGCGUCUGCUGUGAAAUCCCGAGGCUCAACCUCGGGUCUGCAGUGGGUACGGGCAGACUAGAGUGCGGUAGGGGAGAUUGGAAUUCCUGGUGUAGCGGUGGAAUGCGCAGAUAUCAGGAGGAACACCGAUGGCGAAGGCAGAUCUCUGGGCCGUAACUGACGCUGAGGAGCGAAAGGGUGGGGAGCAAACAGGCUUAGAUACCCUGGUAGUCCACCCCGUAAACGUUGGGAACUAGUUGUGGGGUCCAUUCCACGGAUUCCGUGACGCAGCUAACGCAUUAAGUUCCCCGCCUGGGGAGUACGGCCGCAAGGCUAAAACUCAAAGGAAUUGACGGGGACCCGCACAAGCGGCGGAGCAUGCGGAUUAAUUCGAUGCAACGCGAAGAACCUUACCAAGGCUUGACAUACACGAGAACGCUGCAGAAAUGUAGAACUCUUUGGACACUC
This 640-nucleotide ribosomal RNA is filed under the name Microbacterium sp. Ri2Ps_4939. Its description in RNAcentral is "bacterial SSU rRNA". It matches the Rfam family "Bacterial small subunit ribosomal RNA", at positions 378 to 1029 of the family's 1533-position model. The record is from RNAcentral. Lineage: Bacteria; Bacillati; Actinomycetota; Actinomycetes; Micrococcales; Microbacteriaceae.